AACGCACGAGACCUGCGGACCUGCGGAAGGAUCAUUAUCGAGUGUGACCCUCCUGUAAAAAAGGGGGUACCUCCCGUCCUUUUGCUAGGCCCUCCCCCUCCAAAAAUUUUUUUGACAGGGGGAAGCUUUUUCAAACCUUCUGCUUCGGUGGGUUUUAAACCCCGCCGGAACAACCUCAAAAAUUCUUUAUAAUUGUUCUGUCCGAGAAAAAUUUUAUUAAAAUGAAAAAACUUUUAACAA
Molecule: unclassified non-coding RNA, 240 nt
Filed under: soil metagenome
Description: partial contains 5.8S ribosomal RNA, internal transcribed spacer 2, and large subunit ribosomal RNA
Source: RNAcentral